GAACUGUGAUAAGUAAUGUGAAUUGCAGAAUUCAGUGAAUCAUCGAGUCUUUGAACGCACAUUGCGCCCCCCGGCAUUCCGGGGGGCAUGCCUGUCCGAGCGUCAUUGCUGCCCUUCAAGCCCGGCUUGUGUGUUGGGUCGUCGUCCCCUCCGGGGGACGGGCCCGAAAGGCAGCGGCGGCACCGCGUCCGGUCCUCGAGCGUAUGGGGCUUUGUCACCCGCUCGAUAAGGACCGGCCGGGCGCCAGCCGGCGUCUCCAACCUUUUUUUCUCAGGUUGACCUCGGAUCAGGUAGGGAUACCCGCUGAACUUAAGC
RNAcentral lists this unclassified non-coding RNA (315 nucleotides) under plant metagenome. RNAcentral's name for it is "partial contains 5.8S ribosomal RNA, internal transcribed spacer 2, and large subunit ribosomal RNA". The stretch from base 1 to 105 matches the Rfam family "5.8S ribosomal RNA", at positions 50 to 154 of the family's 154-position model. The record is from RNAcentral.